CUCUUGUUGUAAGAAGGAACUUGUGUUUCCUUGGUUGAAGUCUUGGAGUGUUGUAUCUCCGAGCAAAGGUAGUUGAGGCUUGUGUCCUCAAGUUGUGGAGGAACUUGUGUUUCCUUUGGUUGAAGUCUUGGAGUGUUGUAUCUCUGAGCAAAGGCGUUGAGGCUUGUGUCCUCAAGUUGUAAAGGUUUGUUAAGCACCCGGAAG
This 204-nucleotide long non-coding RNA is filed under the name Nicotiana benthamiana. RNAcentral describes it as "long non-coding RNA (NBEN_LNC037772)". Lineage: Eukaryota; Viridiplantae; Streptophyta; Magnoliopsida; Solanales; Solanaceae. The record is from RNAcentral.